Molecule: RNA transcript, 2140 nt
Organism: Helianthus annuus (common sunflower)
Lineage: Eukaryota; Viridiplantae; Streptophyta; Magnoliopsida; Asterales; Asteraceae
Gene name: pre-mRNA-processing-splicing factor 8A-like
Exons: 6
Source: RefSeq, a predicted model, not a curated record
AAGAUUUUGACGAUUAAAAUAGAAGUCAAACAGAUAUGUAAUUCCAUAAGUAACUAAUUGUACUGCCAACAAAAAUCUAAUGCUAGAGGGUAUGGUGACAUCCCAUCCUUGCAGGACCAUCCACCACGUAGGCGCCACGUCAUAGUCCUCCCAAGGAUGGUCACUAGAGGGUAUGGGAGGAUGAUCCUACCCCACCACUUUUUUUAUUUUUUUUUAAUUUCUAUGCCCUAUAUACAAGUAUUGAAGUCUAAUGUACAAGUCCCUAACACAACCAAACAAACAAACAAAACAAAGGGGGCCCACCAUUUCAGACCGUCGCCACCGUCUGAAAUUGGACGUGGAAGACGGGACGGAGGACGUGGGGGGCGGGAUGGAGGACGUGGGGGGCGCCGGUGGAGGACGGGAUGCAUACCGUGCAGCCUAAAAAUCAAGAAAAAGGGGUUUCUAAAUUGGGAAUAGGCAUGAGUUCAUCCCCAGAAAGUAUAUCAAAAACCCACUAAAUCAGUUAAAGAAAAUCUGUUAAGCAUUUCAUCAAACACCUUGCAUUCAGUACACAAACAAGCUCAUAUCCAAAUGGGUAUUCAAGAAAUCAAUCAUAUGACACACGAGACUGAUUACUAAAACAAAAACCCACUAAAUCACAACAAAUAAAUGUAAAAAUAAACUCAAAGGUUGCAAAAACCAGUUAAACCCAUUGGGGCAUUUCAUCAAACACCUUGCAUUCAGUACACAAACAAGCUCAUAUCCAAAUGGGUAUUCAAGAAAUCAAUCAUAUGACACAUGAUACUGAUUAUUGAACACAAACACAUACCUUCUCGUAUAGAUUCUCACAUGCACGUUCUUCAAUUCGAGUGUGUGAUCUUGAUUCCCGAUGCAGAGUUCUUAAAUCUUAAGAGGGGGUUCUGGAAACCGAACACGCGAGACGAUACAUUCUUGAAACUGUCUAAAGCGUCACUACCUCUUCACAUUACUGAACCAAACAUGCAAUACCAACAUUGCCCGUCUUAAAACGGAACACGCGAGACGAUACAUGCUUAGUUUCGGCUUGGGAGGCAAUUUGUUAACCGGGACUCUGUCUGCUGAUAUGUGCCAGUUAACUGGCCUUUGUGAUGUUCGGGGAAAUAACUUGACCGGAACUAUCCCAGAUAGCAUUGGUAACUGUACUAGCUUUGAGAUAUUAGAUAUAUCUUACAAUCAGAUCACCGGUGAAAUCCCCUACAAUAUCAGGCUUCUACGAUUGAUUGUUGACCACAAUAUUGCUGAUUACAUGUGUUCAAAGAACAAUGUUGUGUUGUCUUACAAGGAUAUGAGUCACACAAACUCAAAUGGGCCGAUGCGUGGUCUCCAGUUUGCUUCUUUUGUAGCACAGUACUACGGGCUGGUGCUGGAUCUUUUAUUUCUUGGGUUGACCCGUGCGAGCAAAAUUGCUGGCCCACCAUAAACGCCUAAUGAGUUCUUUACUUUCCGGGAUACUAAAGUUGAAACACGACACCCGAUACUGUUGUACUCCUGGUACAUUAACAAAGUGCAUAUCCUGUUUUGUUUUACACAUGAAGAGGCCUGUGACCUUAUCCAGCGCUAUAUCACUGAGCACCCUGAUCCUAAAAACGAAAAUAUGGUCGAGUAUAAUAAUAGAAAGUGCUGGCCCAGAGAUGCAAGAAUGCGGCUCAUGAAACAUGAUGUAUUUUUAAAUGUUAGGAGAUAAGUGUUUUUUGGGAAAUGAAGAACCGCCUUCCUCGGAGUAUUACAACUCUAGAGUGGGAGAACGGCUUUGUUUUUGUUUAUAGCAAAGACAAUCCAAACCUUCUGUUUACAAUGUAAGUUGCUUGAUACUUUCCCACUUUAUGUUGCCCAGAAUGAUCUUUGAUCUCUAGAUCGCAAAUGAUAAAUGUAACUUUAUUGAAUACUGAAAUUUGAAUACAAUGGAAUGAUCGAAUGUAAUGUAAUGAACGAGUUUUACAAAUGAAAAUCUAAGGCCUAUUUUGUGACAACCCGUAAUUUCGACACUUGGUAAUUAUGAUUAGAGUUACAAAUAACGCGUUAUUAAUUAACAAUUUUGUAGCGAUAUGAAAGAACAAAACAAACAUUGGUAACCAAAAUGCUAGAGAAGCAUUUUCAACUUAGUUUAUAUGCAUAACAU